CAAACUGGUUAUUUAAAAAAGAUCCUAAAUUAAAGCUAUCAAGAAAACCCAGAAUAUUUUAUGCAGAAAAAUUGAAAAAAAUACUUUUUUUUUAAUCUUCUUAACCUGAUUUCAUGAAGUACCCUGUAGCAAAGUAGGAUCAACAAAUAUCACUGACUGACUCAAGCAAAACAGAAGGGAGAAAUAAGCUACAUUUUCUGGAACAGGAAAACAGGAUAUGAAACCUGCCUAACUGCUAAAUUACUCUAACAAUAGCUUUAAACAAAC
This is a long non-coding RNA of Oxyura jamaicensis (ruddy duck), 267 nucleotides long. RefSeq lists it as uncharacterized. The record is from RefSeq and is a predicted model, not a curated record. The transcript has 3 exons. Lineage: Eukaryota; Metazoa; Chordata; Aves; Anseriformes; Anatidae.